CUGAGAGAACAAGCAGGUCUGAGAUCAGAUCUGCUGCUGUUUGAUGAAUGAGGACCACUGUCUCUAGACAUGUUGGACGGCUGGAGUCCAGCUGGACGUCCCGGAGACAUGGACAUGUAACCCACAUAAAGUGGGGAUAGCCUUUUGGGAAAUAGAGAUUGGGUAGGCGGGGUAGUCUGCCUGGCCAAUGGGAAGUUUGAUUCCCAUGAAUGUUUGGACCAAUCAGAGAGCGGAAUGCCACAGAGGCUCCACCUUCUUUCCCGUGUUGGCAGCAUUGAUUGUGAGCGGGAGAUCCGACCCUGAUCAGACAGCUGAGCCAGAAACCACUAAGAUCAGUUGGAACUGUUGCACUUUCUGGCAGUUGAUUGGCAGUUGUUUUCAGUUCAACUGAAGUGCCCUCCGUGUCUGGAAUGAGAGUCCCUGUCUAGUUGUUUU
Long non-coding RNA from Poeciliopsis prolifica (blackstripe livebearer), 435 nucleotides. RefSeq lists it as uncharacterized. The transcript has 3 exons. NCBI's taxonomy places the organism in Eukaryota, Metazoa, Chordata, Actinopteri, Cyprinodontiformes, Poeciliidae. The record is from RefSeq and is a predicted model, not a curated record.